Molecule: ribosomal RNA, 758 nt
Filed under: uncultured bacterium
Lineage: Bacteria
Description: bacterial SSU rRNA
Rfam family: Bacterial small subunit ribosomal RNA
Source: RNAcentral
AGAGUUUGAUCAUGGCUCAGAAUCAACGCUGGCGGCGCGCCUAACACAUGCAAGUCGAACGAGAAAGCCGGAGCAAUCCGGUGAGUAAAGUGGCGUACGGGUGAGUAACACGUGGAUUAUCUGCCCUUUUGUGGGGAAUACCGCUGGGAAACCGGCGACAAUACCGCAUAAGCUCGAGAGAGGAAAGCAGCAAUGCGCAGAAGGAGGAGUCCGCGGUCGAUUAGUUAGUUGGCGGGGUAAAGGCCCACCAAGACUGUGAUCGAUAGCCGGCCUGAGAGGGCACACGGCCACACUGGCACUGAAACACGGGCCAGACUCCUACGGGAGGCAGCAGUGGGGAAUCUUGCACAAUGGGGGAAACCCUGAUGCAGCGACGCCGCGUGAGCGAUGAAGCCCCUCGGGGUGUAAAGCUCUUUCGGCAGGGAAGAUUAUGACGGUACCUGCAAAAGCAGCUGCGGCUAACUACGUGCCAGCAGCCGCGGUAAUACGUAGGCAGCAAGCGUUGUUCGGAGUUACUGGGCGUAAAGGGUGCGUAGGCGGCUUUUUAAGUUUGGUGUGAAAUCUCCCGGCUCAACUGGGAGGGUGCGCCGAGUACUGAGAGGCUAGAGUGUGGGAGAGGAAAGUGGAAUUCCUGGUGUAGCGGUGAAAUGCGUAGAUAUCAGGAGGAACACCGGUGGUGUAAACGGCUUUCUGGACCAUAACUGACGCUGAGGCACGAAAGCGUGGGUAGCAAACAGGAUUAGAUACCCUAGUAGUCC